UAGCCUAGAUUCUUGUUUUGAACUUGAGAAA
This 31-nucleotide non-coding RNA is filed under the name Rattus norvegicus (Norway rat). The record is from RNAcentral. Lineage: Eukaryota; Metazoa; Chordata; Mammalia; Rodentia; Muridae.